This 117-nucleotide non-coding RNA is filed under the name Jeotgalibacillus soli. RNAcentral's name for it is "SAM-I sequence". It matches the Rfam family "SAM riboswitch aptamer (S box leader)". From Rfam's summary of the family: The SAM riboswitch is found upstream of a number of genes which code for proteins involved in methionine or cysteine biosynthesis in Gram-positive bacteria. Lineage: Bacteria; Bacillati; Bacillota; Bacilli; Caryophanales; Caryophanaceae. The record is from Rfam by way of RNAcentral.
CUCUUAUCCAGAGUGGCGGAGGGACUAGGCCCUUAGAUGCCCGGCAACCAACGAAUUGAACAUCGAUUCGGAAAGGUGCUAAUUCCUACAGAUCUAACGUGAUCUGAAAGAUAAGAG